RNAcentral lists this ribosomal RNA (469 nucleotides) under Moraxella sp. canine oral taxon 017. RNAcentral describes it as "bacterial SSU rRNA". It matches the Rfam family "Bacterial small subunit ribosomal RNA", at positions 9 to 473 of the family's 1533-position model. Lineage: Bacteria; Pseudomonadati; Pseudomonadota; Gammaproteobacteria; Moraxellales; Moraxellaceae. The record is from RNAcentral.
GAGUUUGAUCAUGGCUCAGAUUGAACGCUGGCGGCAGGCUUAACACAUGCAAGUCAAACGAUGAUUACUAGCUUGCUAGUAUGAUUAGUGGCGAACGGGUGAGUAAUGCUUAGGAAUCUGCCUAUUAGUGGGGGACAACAUUCCGAAAGGAAUGCUAAUACCGCAUACGUCCUACGGGAGAAAGCAGGGGAUCUUUUGACCUUGCGCUAAUAGAUGAGCCUAAGUCGGAUUAGCUAGUUGGUGGGGUAAAGGCCUACCAAGGCGACGAUCUGUAGCUGGUCUGAGAGGAUGAUCAGCCACACUGGGACUGAGACACGGCCCAGACUCCUACGGGAGGCAGCAGUGGGGAAUAUUGGACAAUGGGCGAAAGCCUGAUCCAGCCAUGCCGCGUGUGUGAAGAAGGCCUUUUGGUUGUAAAGCACUUUAAGUGGGGAGGAAAAGCUAAUAAUUAAUACCUAUUAGCCCUGAC